AAGUUCCGACCUGCACGAAUGGCGUAACGACUUGGGUACUGUCUCAACCAGAGACUCGGCGAAAUUGCAGUGUGAGUAAAGAUGCUCACUACCUGCGGCAGGACGGAAAGACCCCGGAACCUUUACUGUAGCUUGACAUUGGUGUCUGGCAUGUGAUGUGCAGGAUAGGUGGGAGGCUGAGAAGCGGAGGCGCAAGCUUUCGUGGAGCCAACCUUGAAAUACCACCCUUCUCAUGACGGCCAUCUAACUUCGGUCCGUAAUCCGGAUCAGGGACAGUGUCUGGUGGGCAGUUUCACUGGGGCGGUGGCCUCCUAAAGAGUAACGGAGGCGCCCAAAGGUCCCCUCAGUCUGGUCGGCAAUCAGACGGCGAGUGUAAAUGCACAAGGGGGCUUGACUGCGAGACCUACAGGUCGAGCAGGGACGAAAGUCGGGAUUAGUGAUCCCAUGGUGGCACGUGGGUGCGCCAUGGCUCAACGGCUAAAAGGUACUCCGGGGAUAACAGGCUUAUACCCCCCAAGAGUCCAUAUCGACGGGGGUGUUUGGCACCUCGAUGUCGGCUCGUCGCAUCCUGGGGCUGGAGCAGGUCCCAAGGGUCGGGCUGUUCGCCCGUUAAAGCGGCACGCGAGCUGGGUUCAGAACGUCGUGAGACAGUAAGACCAUUGCUGUCUAUAAAUUCGGCUAUAUGCUGGAAAUCCCGUGUAUCCGACGGUACUCGUUCAUGUCACACCCGACACAUGGGGUGGAGAUAUGGACAGUGAAAAUCCGAUCGGUGCGGACAAUCAGCAGGGAAGGCUGGAGUCCUAGAGUAAGCGGAUUCGUGGAAGAGAAACGCCAAAGAGCGAGAGGGGUAAUACGACGCCUCAUUCGCGGGCGAGUCACCAUGAGUUCGUCAGGAACCCAGAACCCUCAGAGACUAUACGCCGAACACCUAUCCUCGGAUGGGUGAAGAUAUAGUCCGAGCUGUAUGGCGACAUACAGAGUCAGGCAGAAAUGACCUGGCCUCCGCUCACCCGAAGUGAGCGGUAGUAACAAUACUGUCGGUCCCUAUCCGCCGCAGGCGCAGGAGAUUUGAAGGGAGCUGACCCCAGUACGAGAGGACCGGGUUGGACGUACCUCUGGUGUGCGAGUUGUACUGCCAAGUGCACGGCUCGUUGGCUAUGUACGGACGGGAUAAGCGCUGAAAGCAUCUAAGUGCGAAGCCCACCCUAAGAUGAGAUCUCCCACCCGUAAGGGUUAAGGCCCCUGGUAGAUGACCAGGUUGAUAGGCCGGACGUGUAAGCACAGCAAUGUGUUCAGCGGACCGGUACUAAUAGGCCGAGGGCUUGGAUAG
RNAcentral lists this ribosomal RNA (1330 nucleotides) under Actinomycetota bacterium. Its description in RNAcentral is "partial 23S ribosomal RNA". It matches the Rfam family "Bacterial large subunit ribosomal RNA", at positions 1978 to 2925 of the family's 2925-position model. The record is from RNAcentral. Lineage: Bacteria; Bacillati; Actinomycetota.